GGCUGAUCUGAGUGCAGUGGUGUUUACAACUAAUUGAUCACAACCAGUUACAGAUACCUCUAUUCCUUUUCCACUCCCACUGCUUCACUUGCCUAGCCUUAA
Molecule: Y RNA, 102 nt
Filed under: Prolemur simus (greater bamboo lemur)
Lineage: Eukaryota; Metazoa; Chordata; Mammalia; Primates; Lemuridae
Description: Y RNA (ENSPSMG00000002332.1)
Rfam family: Y RNA
About the family: Y RNAs are components of the Ro ribonucleoprotein particle (Ro RNP), in association with Ro60 and La proteins. The Y RNAs and Ro60 and La proteins are well conserved, but the function of the Ro RNP is not known.
Source: Rfam by way of RNAcentral